Molecule: non-coding RNA, 98 nt
Organism: Acanthosepion pharaonis
Lineage: Eukaryota; Metazoa; Mollusca; Cephalopoda; Sepiida; Sepiidae
Source: the annotation of a GenBank genome assembly
UGAAAACACUGGUUCUCAUUUGAUCACUAAAGUUAAACAGCAUUUAAUGUGGCCAGUACUUAGAUGGGGGACCAUAUGGGAACAUUUGGUACUGUAAG